Molecule: non-coding RNA, 274 nt
Organism: Pelobates cultripes (western spadefoot toad)
Lineage: Eukaryota; Metazoa; Chordata; Amphibia; Anura; Pelobatidae
Source: the annotation of a GenBank genome assembly
GUGUGGAAGAGGGUGACUAGGGACAGAGGGGGUGAUUAGUGACAAAGUGAGGGAGGGGGUGACUAGUGACAGAGUGAGGGAGCGGGUGACACAGUGACAGAGUUAGGGAGGGAGUGACUAGUGACAGUCACCCCCUCCCUCCCUCUGUCACUAGUCAAUCCCUCCCUCUGUUACUAGUCACUCCCUCACUCUGUCACCAGUCAUCCCCUCACUGUGUCACCAGUCACCCCUUCCCUCCCUCACUCUGCCACUAGUCAUCUUUUCCCUCCCUCAC